RNAcentral lists this ribosomal RNA (549 nucleotides) under uncultured Variovorax sp. RNAcentral's name for it is "bacterial SSU rRNA". It matches the Rfam family "Bacterial small subunit ribosomal RNA", at positions 355 to 897 of the family's 1533-position model. Lineage: Bacteria; Pseudomonadati; Pseudomonadota; Betaproteobacteria; Burkholderiales; Comamonadaceae. The record is from RNAcentral.
UGGGGAAUUUUGGACAAUGGGCGAAAGCCUGAUCCAGCCAUGCCGCGUGCAGGAUGAAGGCCUUCGGGUUGUAAACUGCUUUUGUACGGAACGAAACGGCUCUUUCUAAUAAAGAGGGCUAAUGACGGUACCGUAAGAAUAAGCACCGGCUAACUACGUGCCAGCAGCCGCGGUAAUACGUAGGGUGCAAGCGUUAAUCGGAAUUACUGGGCGUAAAGCGUGCGCAGGCGGUAAUGUAAGACAGUUGUGAAAUCCCCGGGCUCAACCUGGGAACUGCAUCUGUGACUGCAUUGCUGGAGUACGGUAGAGGGGGAUGGAAUUCCGCGUGUAGCAGUGAAAUGCGUAGAUAUGCGGAGGAACACCGAUGGCGAAGGCAAUCCCCUGGACCUGUACUGACGCUCAUGCACGAAAGCGUGGGGAGCAAACAGGAUUAGAUACCCUGGUAGUCCACGCCCUAAACGAUGUCAACUGGUUGUUGGGUCUUCACUGACUCAGUAACGAAGCUAACGCGUGAAGUUGACCGCCUGGGGAGUACGGCCGCAAGGUUGC